ACCGAGUUUACAACUCCCAAACCCCUGUGAACAUACCUUAAUGUUGCCUCGGCGGAUCAGCCCGCGCCCCGUAAAACGGGACGGCCCGCCAGAGGACCAUCAAACUCUGUUAUUAGUGUAACUUCUGAGUAAAAAAAACAAAUAAAUCAAAACUUUCAACAACGGAUCUCUUGGUUCUGGCAUCGAUGAAGAACGCAGCAAAAUGCGAUAAGUAAUGUGAAUUGCAGAAUUCAGUGAAUCAUCGAAUCUUUGAACGCACAUUGCGCCCGCCAGUAUUCUGGCGGGCAUGCCUGUUCGAGCGUCAUUUCAACCCUCAAGCACAGCUUGGUGUUGGGAUCCGUGAGUCAAAUCACGGUCCCCAAAUCUAUUGGCGGUCACGUCGAGCUUCCAUAGCGUAGUAAUUUAUUCUCGUUACUGGUAAUCGUCGCGGCCACGCCGUUAAACCCCAACUUCUGAAUGUUGACCUCGGAUCAGGUAGGAAUACC
RNAcentral lists this ribosomal RNA (485 nucleotides) under fungal sp. E15709A. Its description in RNAcentral is "eukaryotic LSU rRNA". The stretch from base 151 to 304 matches the Rfam family "5.8S ribosomal RNA". Lineage: Eukaryota; Fungi. The record is from RNAcentral.